GUGCCAGCAGCCGCGGUAAGACGAACCGAGCGAACGUUGUUCGGAAUCACUGGGCUUAAAGGGCGCGUAGGCGGGUGACUAAGUCUGUGGUGAAAUCCGGCAGCUUAACUGUCGAAUUGCCAUGGAUACUGGUUGUCUCGAGGGAGGCAGGGGUGCGCGGAACUAAUGGUGGAGCGGUGAAAUGCGUUGAUAUCAUUAGGAACUCCGGUGGCGAAGGCGGCGCACUGGUCCUCUUCUGACGCUGAGGCGCGAAAGCCAGGGGAGCAAACGGGAUUAGAUACCCCAGUAGUCC
This 292-nucleotide ribosomal RNA is filed under the name uncultured bacterium. Its description in RNAcentral is "partial 16S ribosomal RNA". It matches the Rfam family "Bacterial small subunit ribosomal RNA", at positions 505 to 796 of the family's 1533-position model. The record is from RNAcentral.